UAUUAUCUACUUGUUUAUUGAACUACUGUUGUAUAAAAUCAAUGUCAGGUUUGCAAUUGUGCUGAUAGUCGGGAAAACAUGACUCUUGGUCAUGGUUGGCUCACUGACUG
Molecule: long non-coding RNA, 110 nt
Organism: Sinocyclocheilus grahami
Lineage: Eukaryota; Metazoa; Chordata; Actinopteri; Cypriniformes; Cyprinidae
Exons: 3
Source: RefSeq, a predicted model, not a curated record